CACCCUACCAUCGCGCCGCUGCCGUCACUGCCGCUCGCCUCGGCCCCCGUCCCGGACCUCACGCUGCACGGCGCCUCCUCCCCGCGCCGACGACCUCCCCUUGCUCCGCCUCUUCUUCCUGUCCGGCUAGAACCACGACGCACGGCCUCUCACGCUCCCUCGCGACCCUCAGCCAUGGCUAGGGUUUCAGGCUGGGCAGUGCCUUCACCGCCGGCGCGGCUCCGGUGGAUUCCGACGGCUCCUCUCCGUCUCCUCCCUCGCCCUCACAUGUGGUUAUGCUUCCCACUGGCCACGAGGUGCAGCCUUGCAGGGGCACAUCGGGCUGGGCCUCCUCUGCUUCCAGUGAACGGUUCACUGAGAUUGUUGGAAGUCCUUAUUACAGGCUCCAGAUGUGUACAUUGGCAUGAUAUCUAAGAGAAACUAUGGCCAAGAGGUUGAUGUUUGGAGUGCAGGAGUGAUUCUUUACAUCCUUCUUUGCGGUGUCCCUCCAUUCAGGGCAGGUCGUCGGCACAUCUUAUAACUCAACUGGAUCUUUUUGUUAACAAGCAGCUAGACCCAAGGUACUAAUGUCCAAUUGCUCGGUCAUUUUGAUAUUUAGUCUCUCAAGAGUUCUUUUCAUAGUUUAUUAUUCUUCAAGUUCCACUUUCAUCUUACUCAGUCGUGUCCAAAUGCCUUUUCUAUAAAUUAUUCUGAGACAAGGUGUGUUGCUGCUAUGCUCCGAUGUAUACUUACGUGGUUCUUGCUUCUUAUUUUUCGAGCGUGUGUGUAUGAUGAUGUUGGUUUGUUGCCAUUGCGCAUGGUCCGGUUGCGGCUCAUGCUCAAGCCAUGGUGUUGGGUUGGUAGGUGGUCGUGGGCGUGGCCGCGGGCGGUCUGCUGGUCGUCGUGGACGAGCCACUGGCCGUGGAGGUUCUAAUAUAGGGCGUGCUCCUGUUUCUGAUCAUGUUGCUGCUUGCCGGGUGCCUGCCGCUGGAGAUGAGCCUCGUGACAGGCGUAGGGGUGUGAGUUGGUGCGCGCCUGCUGCUGGAGCUGAGCCUAUCGCCAGGCGCGGGCGUGGCGCUCGGCGGGUGCCUGCUGCUGGGCAUGGCGCCAUACCUCGCUCAAGUGGUAGGGGUGUUCGUGGCCGUGUCCCUGGUCGUGGUGCUGAUCCUGGGCAUGCAGCCGCUGCUAUACAUGUGCCUGUCCUUGGUCGUGCUGCUGAUCCUGGGCACGACGCCGCUUCUGUGCAUAGAAAAUUCAUCUCUGCUGUCAACCAUCUUGGAAUUGACAGUAAGAACUUACCAGUACCUCCCUUCUCUGUUUCUACUUAUUUUCUGGAGUAACUUUGUUCCUCACUAUUCUUUCAUGUUUAUGCAAAAGGUGUGCCGAAAAGGAUACUUGAGCUCAUGAAUGUUGAGAAACUCACUAGGGAAGAUGUUGCAAGUCAUCAACAAGCAAGCCACUUAAUUAACUUUCUUGUAGUUAUCAGCAGAUCAGUACCGUGUGCGUUCCAUACUUGCCGAGCUUUAUAUGUACUGCAGCCAGCAGCUAGGCAUACAGAGAUAAUACUUAGAAAAAGUUAUAACUAAGAGUUAACUUUUGCUGUGUGUGGCUCUACGCAUUAUAUAUUCUGCAACUUCUAUUAUGUUUUUUUUGAGAAAACGCAAGGGACCUUUGUGUUUCAUUUCAUUGAGAAGGGAGUGGAAAUGAUACAUGUUUCUAGCAACAAGAAAAAGUGACAUGCCAUAUCUAUGGAUCUUACUCCAUGGGGUAUCCAUCAACGUAUGAUGUUUCACAAGGAAAUGAGUUUCCUGCAUUCUCAUGUUAAAAAGAAUUAUAAAGAAACCAAGCAGAAUAUGAUGUCAAAGUUUUAAGUUAUUAUUGGGUUCGUCCACCAAUCAAGGUUUGCCGAAAGUUAUCAACUUCUGCUUUGUAUCAUGCAUUUCUGUUUGUGCAAGAAAUCCAAUUGAAAUUUGUCUGUUGUCGUUCGCAUGUACUUUCUUUUGUUGCUUAUAUAUAUUUCAACCACUUACUUAUGUUGUCUCUAAAUCAUUUUCGACGACUCAGGUUGACCACACUAUUGUGAUAUUCUUGGCCAGGAUCACUUUAUAUCAUGUUGGACCAUCUUGAAAUUCAUAGAGCCUUUUAUCAUCGAAGGAUGUACUCACAGAACACAAUGAGUGGACUGUGCUUUUCUACACUUUUGUCCAUAGCAGUGGGAUAUGUUUUCUGCAGUGCACGGCUACCCUCUAGUGUCGCGAUGGCUGGCUAAGAGAUCUAGGUUCAUGGCUCGCUAGGUUCAGCCGUUCCACUAACAGCUGUCUCCGAGCACUUGCACAGGUUGAGUUGAGCAUAUGUAUACCUACCUUAGUCGAUAGAAGAUUUUAGAAGCGCAUUGUUUCAGAAUUAAGAACUUUAUGUCUCUGAUAUGGAAGCAAAAAUAAUUAUGUGUGGUUUCAUGGACUCUUACCUUAUUGAUGGGCACCAUGCAGAGCUUGAGGAGAUGUAGGCCAGUGUGCCACCUCUUUCGCUUUUCAAGUGAUCGCUGAGCCACCUUCUUUGCUUCAGAGGCUUCUUGUGUCACCAUAGACCCGUGUGUCACAACAUGCAAGCAAAUCAAAUGAAGGAUUGUGGACAAAGUUAUAUAUCAACCAAAUUGAAUGAAGGCGUGUGGACAAAGUUAUAUAUCCAAUAGUCAACCAUGUAGUUUACUAUCGUGCAGUAUGAAAAACAGUGUAAAUAAGUUACCUGGGACUAAUACUAUGGCCUGCUUUUGGUUUCUAUCAUACUAAACCUUGCUUAGGUAUUUCACGUCACAUUGUAUAACAAAUGCGCCGAUGGCAUGUAGAUAGGGCCAUCUUUUAGAUAUUUUACGGGGUGAUUACUGUUGUGAGUUUCUACCAUCACCUACUCUUUGAGUUAUAUCAUAUAUAUUUCCAUCCUGGGGUAUAUUGAGUAAUAUCAGAUGUUAAUUGAA
Molecule: long non-coding RNA, 2953 nt
Organism: Triticum dicoccoides
Lineage: Eukaryota; Viridiplantae; Streptophyta; Magnoliopsida; Poales; Poaceae
Exons: 8
Source: RefSeq, a predicted model, not a curated record